Molecule: microRNA precursor, 78 nt
Filed under: Nomascus leucogenys (northern white-cheeked gibbon)
Lineage: Eukaryota; Metazoa; Chordata; Mammalia; Primates; Hylobatidae
Description: miRNA (ENSNLEG00000028793.1)
Source: RNAcentral
UAUUAGGUUGGUGCAAAGGUAAUUGCAGUUUUCACCAUUCAAAUUAAUAGCAAAAACAGCAAUUACUUUUGCACCAAC